AUUGAACGCUGGCGGCAGGCCUAACACAUGCAAGUCGAACGGUAACAGGAAGAAGCUUGCUUCUUUGCUGACGAGUGGCGGACGGGUGAGUAAUGUCUGGGAAACUGCCUGAUGGAGGGGGAUAACUACUGGAAACGGUAGCUAAUACCGCAUAAUGUCGCAAGAGCAAAGAGGGGGACCUUCGGGCCUCUUGCCAUCGGAUGUGCCCAGAUGGGAUUAGCUAGUAGGUGGGGUAACGGCUCACCUAGGCGACGAUCCCUAGCUGGUCUGAGAGGAUGACCAGCCACACUGGAACUGAGACACGGUCCAGACUCCUACGGGAGGCAGCAGUGGGGAAUAUUGCACAAUGGGCGCAAGCCUGAUGCAGCUAUGCCGCGUGUAUGAAGAAGGCCUUCGGGUUGUAAAGUACUUUCAGCGGGGAGGAAGGGAGUAAAGUUAAUACCUUUGCUCAUUGACGUUACCCGCAGAAGAAGCACCGGCUAACUCCGUG
RNAcentral lists this ribosomal RNA (490 nucleotides) under uncultured bacterium. Its description in RNAcentral is "partial 16S ribosomal RNA". It matches the Rfam family "Bacterial small subunit ribosomal RNA", at positions 30 to 507 of the family's 1533-position model. The record is from RNAcentral.